ACGGCCUCUGCCGCGGGGCCGGAGCGCCGCCUGCUGCCCGGUGCUGUCCGAUACCUCGGCGGCAUCGGUUGGAUCCGCGACCCGAGCGGCGGCGGAGUACCGGGAGAGCGCCGGGCCGCAGCCCAGUCCCGGUACCCACGCGAGUCGUGAGCGCCGCCAGGUGCCGAUGGAGGUCGGCGGCCUGCCAGCGGAGCUGUGGCAGCUCAUCUUAUCCUACCUGCGCCUCCCCGACCUGGGCCGCUGCAGCUCGGUCUGCAGGACCUGGUAUGAGCUCGUCCUCAGCCUGGACAAAACGCGCUGGCGGCAGCUCUGCCUGGGCUGCCUGGAGCACAGACACCCCAACUGGCCUAACCAGCCCUGCGUGGAGCCGCGGUCGUGGAGAGAAGCCUUCAAACAGCACUACCUGUCCUCCAAAACCUGGACCAAAAACACGCAGGACCCGGAGUCCUCCAACUGCCUCUCCCUUUUCCGGAGGAGGAAGGGCCGGCGCCGGCUCUGCGUCGGCGCUGGGGGUGAGUUUAGCAGCCUCCGGGCUGCCCUGGCUGCUGCCAGCCCUUACGACUGCCUCGUGCUGCUGCCCGGCGUGCACGAGGAGCAGAGUGAGGUGCUGCUGAAGGUGCCUGUGGAAGUCGUGGGGCAAGGCAAGCUGGGGGACGUGGCGCUGCUGGUGAGCAUUGACCAGCACUGCCCCACCGCCCGCCUCUGCAACGUGGUCUUCAUGCCGGCCCGCUUCACCUCAGUGGUGUACAAGACAACCUCAGGCUAUGUCCAGUUCGACAAUUGCAAUUUUGAAAGUGGGCAGCUGCAGAUCCAUGCACCAGGGACGUGCCAGGUGAAGUUCUGCACCUUCAGCCAGUCCAGCAUCUACCUCCGCAGUGUGGCCCUCUGCAUCCUGGAGAACUGUGAGUUCACCGGCAGCGAGAACGCCUCUGUAACUGUGGAGGGCUGCCCGAGCUCGGACCGUAACUGGGCCUGCAAGCACCUAGCCGUGCUGGCCAAGUCCUGCGCAGCAUCCAUGCGGGAGCCCGACCCAGCCGACUGCCCCAUGGCCAAGCUGGAUGGCUUGGGGGAAUUGCUGCUGGGGCCAGUGAGAACAUGUGAGAUUGUCGUAGGGGAAGAACAAAGCAGCUUACUCUCUGCUGCGGGUGCUCAAGACCUGCUUGGCUCAGCCCAGGAGGACUCUGAAUUCGGAGAGAACCUGCAGGCAGCAAAGGAGGAGGAGUACUCGGUCCUCGACUCAAACUCCAGUGACAGUGAUUUACACAGUGACGAUGAAGAGGAUGCUCAGGCUAUGUACAAACUGCCCUAUCAAGACCACAGCCUGAGUCACACGCUUGCUGACAUUAUGGACAGCAGACUCCAAAGCAACAGACUGCAUGCCCUUCAGAAGGACCUUAAGCUCAAGUCUCUGCAGCAGGAGCUGCAGCAGGACAAGGAGGCCCAGUCUUUGGCCAACUCUCUGCAAGGCUGCAUCAUCCGACAGUGCCUUUUCAGGGACGGGAAGGGAGGAAUAUUCAUUUAUUCACGAGGGCAAGCAAAACUGGAAGAAAGCAUCUUCAGGGAUCUGACCUACGCAGUGCGCUGCAUACAAAACAGUAAGGUCAUCAUGCUGAGGAAUGACAUCCACCAUUGCAAAGCAUCAGGGAUAUUCCUGCGCCUGUCAGCAGGAGGCCUGAUUGCAGACAACAACAUCCAUUCGAACUCUGAGGCUGGAGUGGACAUUCGUAAGGGCGCCAACCCCCUUGUUCUGUGCAAUAAGAUACACAGUGGCCUUCGCUCGGGCAUUGUCGUCGUUGGCAACGGAAAAGGCAUCAUCCGUAGCAAUCAGAUCUAUGGGAAUAAAGAAGCUGGCAUUUAUAUUCUGUAUAAUGGAAACCCUGCUGUGAGUGGGAACCAUAUUUUCCAGGGACUGGCUGCUGGAAUAGCAGUGAAUGAGAACGGGAGAGGCCAAAUCACAGGGAAUGUCAUCUGCGAGAACCAGUGGGGCGGUGCGGACAUCCGCCAUGGGGGUGACCCCAUCCUCAGGAACAACCUCAUCUCCUACGGCUACUCGGAUGGCGUGGUGGUGGGCGAGCGCGGGAAGGGCCUCAUUGAAGGAAAUGCCAUUUACGGCAACAAGGGCUGCGGUGUGUGGAUGACGUCCUCCAGCCUCCCGCACCUCAUCAACAACCAGAUCAGCCACAACAGCAUCUACGGAGUGGCGGUGUUCUGCCACAAGGACGACGCUGGUGACUACCCCCCCGGUCAGGGGGGCAGCGAGAACUUCCAGGAGGAUAGGGAAGGUGCUGGCGGGGAGAACGACCCCAACCGUGAGGAGGAGCACCCGGCUGCCCGGCGUCCCAUCAGCGUGGCACUGGUGGAGUUGAACAGCAUCAACCACAACGGAGCUGCUGGGUUGCACGUCAAGAGCAGUGAGGCGCUCAACGUCAUCGCCAACGUAAUUCAUGCCAACCGUGACGGCGGGGUGGUGGUGCUGCAGAGCAGCCAGCUGACGCGUGUUGCGAACAACAGCAUCUCCUGCAACAGCCGGGGAGGCGUGCUUGUCGAGGCCGAGUGCCGCGUGGAGCUGCGUGGCAACGGCAUCUAUGAGAACAGCAGCCACGGUAUCGUCUCCAAGGGAGAGGGCAUCAUCAUGGAGAACGACAUCAUCGGCAACCACAGGUGUGGCCUUCAGCUGCUCCAAGCAGCGGACAUGAAGUGAUCCACAGGUGGCUCGUCACAUCUGUCUGAUGUUUAAACCUUGGUAAAGGACAGCUCAGUCAUCAUUUCCCACAUGCGGAUUCGCAGAUAGCUUGUAGAUGAGACCUCUCUUCUCUCAGAGCAGCAAAGGGAAUCCUGUGCAUUUUGGUGCAAUGACGUUCGACAAAGUCCAUCUUCUCCCAGGCUUGUCCCCUGUGUUUAACUGAGUGGCACAGUCAAGUGGGUGAUCCUGUAGGCCUCUCUUGGAGAUUUGCAGGCUGUGUGAGCUGUGCUGAAGAACUGGAUUUAUUGGAACUAGAUUUUUUGGAAGUUAGAUGCAGUGUUCCAGCAUCUAGCCAGUUCCCAAGGUUAAUACCUGGCUCAAGGUUGCCUCCGUUCUGUUCUUUAUUGAGGUGAAGCCAUCGGGCAUCAAAAUGAUAGAUAAAUGCAAUUUAACUCAUCGUCAGGGACCCCUAAAAUGAGUAUACAGAAAGCCCCGCCAAGACAAAUGCUCUGCAUGAGUCCUGCAGGGGCUGCAGACUCCUUUUGAAAACCAUGCCUGUAGAAAAACAUUGUCCUCUGGACCAGAAGGUAAAAACCACUGAAUUUUCUGUGGUGCCAGCUGUCCAGGAGCACGCAGGCAGGAUACAUAUUGCAGGGUUCAUUUGGGGAGCAGAGCAGGGGGCAUAGGUCCUUGUUGAAGUACUGGCGAUGUCGUGGUGCUGUUGUUUCUUGUCUGCCCACUGGCAGAGCCCGAGAAAUGCCUGAGAGCAGGUGAGAUGGUGUGCGGUACUGGGUGGGGAGAAGUGCUGGGCAAGGAGCGUUGCAGCAUCUGUUGCUGUGGAUCCAAGGAGGAGAAAGGACCAAACUGAUCUUCCAGAUGGUGGCAAAGCAAGAGCUGUGGCCUUGUCUUUCUUGGGAAGAGGAGACUCCUAAGUGCUCUUUUUUCAUAUACGAAGAAGUGACAGCCUGUAAGUCCAGCCGUUUGAAACCUGAAGGGCAAGGAGCAGUAGCAGGUUCGUGUUUAGCAGCAUCUGUGCUUGUGUUUCACCACGGGGUUCAGUACCAGCUUCAGGGAAGCCUGUAGCAUCUAGCACUGACAGCAACUGAGCUGCCAGCUGGGGCCACCAGUAAUGUGUGGAAGGUCUUGGGAAAGCUUGUGUGCGCAUGGCUAUGGCGCAUCCAGUCUGAACCCUUGGUAUGCUGCGAAACUGCCAGGGAGUGCUAGUGAGCCUGCAGAAGAGAUUUGGUGUUUGGUUUUGUGCUGACUAAAGAGCCCUUUGAACGGUGUCCUGCUUGGGCCAUCCCAUCUAAAGCUUAUUUUGCAGGUGACGAAGAACAGGAUCCAGUCCUUUCAGGACUAUGGGAUUGCUCUCUUUGAUGAAGCCAAAGGCCUGGUGCAGGAAAACCUCAUUUUCCAAGGGAGAUCCAAGAAAUCCAUUUUGCGGCCGGUGUCAAAUGCAGAGGAUUGCGUCAUCCAAAACAACAUGCUUCUCACCUUCAAGAAAAGGUUUGAUAUGGAGUGCAUGCU
This is an RNA transcript of Harpia harpyja (harpy eagle), 4210 nucleotides long. It is a transcript of the gene named F-box protein 10, with no coding region annotated. The transcript is spliced from 11 exons. The record is from RefSeq and is a predicted model, not a curated record. Lineage: Eukaryota; Metazoa; Chordata; Aves; Accipitriformes; Accipitridae.